RNAcentral lists this ribosomal RNA (1561 nucleotides) under Candidatus Gygaella obscura. RNAcentral's name for it is "bacterial SSU rRNA". It matches the Rfam family "Bacterial small subunit ribosomal RNA". Lineage: Bacteria; Pseudomonadati; Candidatus Omnitrophota. The record is from RNAcentral.
UUUGCGGAGAGUUUGAUCCUGGCUCAGAGUGAACGCUGGCGGCGUGGAUUAGGCAUGCAAGUCGAGCGAUUUUAAAGUUGUUGUUUAAUUUUAAGAUAGCGGCAAACGGGUGAGGAACACGUGAGUAAUUUACCUUCUACUCGGGGAUAGCUUUGCGAAAGCGGAGGUAAUACCCGAUGUGCUCUAGAGAAUGCGAAUUCUUUAGGAUAAAGACGGGGACCGAAAGGCCUGUCGAUAGAAGAUGAGCUCGCGUCCUAUCAGCUUGUUGGUGGGGUAAUGGCCUACCAAGGCUUUUGACGGGUAGCUGGUCUGAGAGGAUGGUCAGCCACAUUGGGACUGAGACACUGCCCAGACUCCUACGGGAGGCUGCAGUCGAGGAUCUUUAGCAAUGGGCGAAAGCCUGACUAUGCGACGCCGCGUGAGGGAUGAAGGUUUUCGGAUCGUAAACCUCUUUCGAUGGGAAAGAAUAUCCUAGAGACUAAUAUUUUCUAGGACUGACGGUACCCAGAGAAGAAGCCACGGCCAACUCCGUGCCAGCAGCCGCGGUAAUACGGAGGUGGCAAGCGUUACUCGGAUUCAUUGGGUGUAAAGGGCAGGUAGGCGUCCUGAUAUGUUUUUGGUGAAAUCCUCCGACUCAAUCGGAGAACUGCCAAAAAAACUGUCAGGAUUGAAUGCAGGAGGGGAAAGUGGAAUUCUCAGUGUAAGAGUGAAAUCUGUAGAUAUUGAGAGGAACACCAGUGGCGUAGGCGACUUUCUAGACUGCUAUUGACGCUGAUCUGCGAAAGCUAGGGGAGCAAACAGGAUUAGAUACCCUGGUAGUCCUAGCUGUAAACUAUGUACACUAGGUGUUGGGGGGUUGCCUUCAGCGCCGCAAGAUAACUCGUUAAGUGUACCACCUGGGAACUACGGCCGCAAGGCUAAAACUCAAAGGAAUUGACGGGGGCCCGCACAAGCGGUGGAACAUGUGGUUCAAUUCGAUGCUACGCGAAGAACCUCACCAGGGCUUGACAUGUAGGAAGUAGUGAACCGAAAGGGGAACGACCUGUCAAGUCAGGAGCCUAUGCAGGUGCUGCAUGGCUGUCGUCAGCUCGUGUCGUGAGAUGUUGGGUUAAGUCCCGCAACGAGCGCAACCAUCAUCUUUAGUUGCGACCAUGUCCGUUUUUUGGACGAUGAGCACUCUAAAGAGACUGCCCGGGAUAACCGGGAGGAAGGUGGAGAUGACGUCAAGUCCGUAUGGCCUUUAUGCCCUGGGCUACACACGUGUUACAAUCCUUACUACAAAGCGUUGCCAAACCGCGAGGUGGAGCUAAUCGCAAAAAAGUAAGGUCAGUUCGGAUUGGAGUCUGCAAUUCGACUCCAUGAAGCCGGAAUCGCUAGUAAUGGCGGAUCAGCUACGCCGCCGUGAAUACGUUCCCGGGCCUUGUACACACCGCCCGUCAAGCGAUGGGAGCUGGCUAUACUCGAAGUCUCCAAGCAAUUGGGGCCUAAGGUAAAGUUGGUGACUGGCGCUAAGUCGUAACAAGGUAGCCGUAUCGGAAGGUGCGGCUGGAUCACCUCCUUU